GUGGGGAAUAUUGGACAAUGGGCGAAAGCCUGAUCCAGCCAUGCCGCGUGUGUGAAGAAGGUCUUCGGAUUGUAAAGCACUUUAAGUUGGGAGGAAGGGCAGUAAGUUAAUACCUUGCUGUUUUGACGUUACCGACAGAAUAAGCACCGGCUAACUUCGUGCCAGCAGCCGCGGUAAUACGAAGGGUGCAAGCGUUAAUCGGAAUUACUGGGCGUAAAGCGCGCGUAGGUGGUUUUGUAAGUUGGAGGUGAAAUCCCCGGGCUCAACCUGGGAACUGCCUCCAAAACUGCAUGACUAGAGUACGGUAGAGGGUAGUGGAAUUUCCUGUGUAGCGGUGAAAUGCGUAGAUAUAGGAAGGAACACCAGUGGCGAAGGCGACUACCUGGACUGAUACUGACACUGAGGUGCGAAAGCGUGGGGAGCAAACAGGAUUAGAUACUCCGGUAGUCC
This 450-nucleotide ribosomal RNA is filed under the name uncultured bacterium. RNAcentral's name for it is "partial 16S ribosomal RNA". It matches the Rfam family "Bacterial small subunit ribosomal RNA", at positions 354 to 796 of the family's 1533-position model. The record is from RNAcentral.